Molecule: non-coding RNA, 72 nt
Organism: Amblyraja radiata (thorny skate)
Lineage: Eukaryota; Metazoa; Chordata; Chondrichthyes; Rajiformes; Rajidae
Source: the annotation of a RefSeq genome assembly
UCCCUGGAGGUCUCGUGGUUAGGAUUCGGCGCUUUCACCGCCGCGGCCCGGGUUCGAUUCCCGGUCAGGGAA